Molecule: unclassified non-coding RNA, 394 nt
Filed under: uncultured fungus
Lineage: Eukaryota; Fungi
Description: partial contains small subunit ribosomal RNA, internal transcribed spacer 1, and 5.8S ribosomal RNA
Rfam family: Eukaryotic small subunit ribosomal RNA (bases 1-73)
Source: RNAcentral
ACAAACUUGGUCAUUUAGAGGAAGUAAAAGUCGUAACAAGGUUUCCGUAGGUGAACCUGCGGAAGGAUCAUUACAAAUCCGUUCCACGUCUCUCUCCCGAGACCACGUUGAAAUGUGCGCGUGCGCGUGUGUGGCUGGUCGGCCGGUCGGUCGGUUGGGUUCACACCCGUACCGGACCGUGCCGUACCGCUCCUCUGUGCCGUGCAUCAUCCGUGUGAGCACGCGGUAGCGCGGCGGCAGCGGGGGCGCUCGCUCGCCCUGCUGUCCGUCCGUCGCCGCCCGUGUCUCUACGCCGAACGAGUUGAUAUUGUUGUCCAAGUGUAUUGUGUUUUCGAACCUCAGUACAACUUAUAACAAUGGAUCUCUAGGCUCUUGCAUCGAUGAAGAACGCAGC